CAUGUUUGCCAGGAAGAUUUUAAUGCUUAGAUGUCAGUGUGAGUGUGGAUGACACUCGGAAGAUUUGUGGGAGCAUGUUACUCAACUGGUAGAACAUUUCUUCAGAAAUACUCUGUAAAAGGUGGCAAAACCCCCAAAACUGCUGUGUCUAGUAGACACGAAUUAUGACAUGAAGGAGAAAAGGGCAUGGGAAGUUGUCGUCACUGCAAAUCAAGAUGGACAAGUGAGAGGCUGUGACUCAAAAACGGCAACAAGUUCAUCAACGUCACUGAGGAUCUCACUGCUGGAAGUGGGAUUUUAUAAAGGAACUGUGUGGGGAAGAAAUGUAGGGUAACAGGGAGAAGUUAUGAAAAACAAAUCCAUAAUCUGAUUUCUCCUGCUAUCUUACAGUGUAUAGUUUAAAUUACAUUAGUGAUUGAAAGGGAAAUUAGGUCCUCUGAUUCAUUUUCCAUAAGGCAAUGCCACAGUUUAAAGAAAAAUUUAAAGAUCAAUGUAGUCUGGUUAAAAGAUCAAAGAACUAGGCACGUCACUUAAUUCAUCUUGUGCAAAAUAGAACUAAUAAUCCUUUGUGCUUAUAUAAUAGUAACAUUUAUGUAGAACUUAUAAAAUUCACUUUGGAGAAAUGAUUUCAUUUGAACCUCACAGCAAACUUGUGAAGUGCUAUUCUGCUCAUGUUAUAGACAGGAAACUGAAGCUAAAAGGUUAAAUGACCUCAGGUAUUGCAUGAGUAAAUGCCUGAGGAUGGAUUCAAACUCAAGUCUUCCUGACUCUAAGUCCAGUGAUUUGCAGCGGACUAACCCUAAUCUAGUUAACAUCCAUUUCAAAUUAUGUCCCAUGUAAAAACUAUAUAAUGCCUAUUCUUAAGCAGAUCAAACUGUUUAGAGGGAAAAAAAGUUGAAUCUUUUCUUUCACUCUACUGUAUAAUGUGGUAUUGACUCAAAAUUUACAUAUUUAAUUAACACAUUUUCAAAUAUUUUUCCACAUAGCAGAUGUUUGACCUCCUUAUAUCCCUUUCUUCCCUUUGUCCUUCCUCUCCUUUCUUCCCACUUCCCCUCUAUCCUUCAUUCCCUGUACUUAAAACUAAGGGUGAGAGGGCACAUGAAGUAAUUUGAUAGACAGCUGGUCUCUGGGUCCACCUCUGACAUAGACCAGCUUUGGGACCCUGUUGGUAAAGUCCCUUAAACUCUUACUGGUCUAGUUAAGUCUCUAAGACUAUGCAUUUGGGGGCAUUAAUGGCAAUAGGAGUUUCUUAGCCAGUAUGGUUCCCAUCUGUAUGAAAUCACAGAUCUGGACCAAAAGUACACUGUACAUAGUUGUGGGCCCCCUUUUCUCCAGGAUGGCAAUUGAGUCUAUGGCCUAUUUUAGGUCUAUUCUAGAUCCUCGCUUCAGUUCUACACUCUGUAAAUUUUUUGGCAGGAGAGAGGGGGAGGGAGGUUAUGGAGUUGUAAGAAAAGGAAAUGGAUGUUGAAGAGGUGGUACGGAGAGAGCUUCAGAAAACACUCAUAUUAAAGAACAGUGAGGAAUAGACAAAUAAAGGUCUAGGACACUUUGAAGAUCACAAUACAAUGCUUGCUACUCCAAUGUACGAAGCAGUUCUUGGCAAUUUGUUCAUGGAUUAUCCCUGUUUCGUAUUAUCAUCAUCAAGAUGUCAUUUCUUCCCACCACCAACUUGUGUAUGUGCUGAGAGAAUCCAAGCUAAUUUGAAUACCUAAAUAAUAAUUAGGCUAAAUAAUAAUUAGGAAGGUAAAUAUGCUUCUCUACAAACAAAAAAGAAGUAUUUUCUAUUUCACUUCCCAACACUGUCAGUAAUGCAGAGUUUAUUAUAUAUUCAUGCAAUCAUAAUAAUUUUUCACUAGCUUACCUCUGACAUAUCAUGCACCAAUAAGAGAGGAAUACUAAUUGUUGUGAUGUCAUGAGUACAGCAAACCUUUAGAAUAUUUCGGAGACCCAUGAUGGCAGGAUCUCGAGCUGUGAUGUUACCAGAUCUCACAUUGUCAUCCACACAGAGAUGGAAAGCCACAUGGAUUUCGGAAAGAUUGGAGUGCCGGGUAAUAUAAAAUUCUCCUACAAGCAAGAGAUAGGAUGUUUUUCAAAUCAAUAAAUCAUGCUGAAUUAUAUCCAAUGUAAUGGGCUAACAGAAAUAACCAGUAAAUAAUAAAAUGCUAUAGCUGAAUAAAUACUAUUAAA
Non-coding RNA from Monodelphis domestica (gray short-tailed opossum), 2187 nucleotides. NCBI's taxonomy places the organism in Eukaryota, Metazoa, Chordata, Mammalia, Didelphimorphia, Didelphidae. The record is from RefSeq and is a predicted model, not a curated record.